Orcinus orca (killer whale) is the source of this 5124-nucleotide long non-coding RNA. RefSeq lists it as uncharacterized. The transcript has 3 exons. The record is from RefSeq and is a predicted model, not a curated record. NCBI's taxonomy places the organism in Eukaryota, Metazoa, Chordata, Mammalia, Artiodactyla, Delphinidae.
GAAGUCCCUAGGGAGGUUCUAGUUUCAUUAGCUGUCCAGUUUUCCCAGCACUGUUUAUUGAAGAGACUGUCUUUUCUCCAUUGUAUAUUCACUGUAUAUUCUCACCUCCUUUGUCAUAUAUUAAUUGACCAUAGGUGCGUGGGUUUAUUUCUGGGCUUUCUAUCCUGUUCCACUGGUCUAUACUUCUGUUUUUGUGCCAGUACCAUACUGUUUUAAUUACUGUAGCUUUGUAGUUUAAUGCUAUACAUUUCUAAGUACUGUUUUAGCUGUAUCUCUCAACUUUUGACAUGCUGUAUUCUAAUUUUUAUUCAGUUUGAAAUACUCUCUAAUUUCCCUUUUGACUUCUUUGACCCAUGAACUAUCUAGAAGCUUAUUAUCUAGUUUCCAAACAUUUGGGGAUUUUCCAGAUACUUUUUUGCCAUUGAUCUAAUUCCACUGUGUCAGACAGCACACUUUUUAAUGCCUGGAUCAUUUUAAAGUUGUUAAGAUUUAUUUUAUGGCCCAGUAUAUGGUCUAUAUUAGUAAAUGUUAUGUGUGCACUUAAAAGAAUGUAUUCUGCUAUUGUUGGGUGGAGUAUUCUAAAUGUUAAUUAGGUCAGGUUGGUUGUAGUGCUAUUCAAGAUUUCUAUAAUCUUACUGACUUUAUGUCUAUUUGUCCUAUCAGUUAUUGAGGGAGUGGAUUUGUCAAUUUCCUGUUGCAUUUCUGUUACUUUUGGCGUUGUGUAUUUUGAAGCACUGUUAUUAGGUGCAUAAAAAUUGGAUUGUUAUGUCCACCUGAUGCAUUGACUGCUUUGCCACUAUGAUAUAAGCCUCUUUAUCCCUGGCAAUAUCCUUUACUCUAAAAUCUACUUUGCCUAAUAGUAGCAGAGCCUCUCCGGCUUUCUUAUGAUAAAAAUCAGCCUCGAGUAUUCAGCUGAGUCCCGAUCAGUGCACUUGUGUGAGAAAUGGCUGGGGAAAGAACACUCAGAAGAAUUAGAACAAUCCCAGGAGGUCACAUAGAAAAUACUGUUAUAUUUUAUUUAAAAUGUUGUUUAUGUUCAUAGGUGACAGGCUUAUUGUUUUUAGCUUUUUCUCAGUUUUUAUUUCUAAUAUGGUAAGUAUUGAUAGAUAGGACCCACAUCAUCAAAACUCUUGUGGUUCUCAGUAAUUUUUUUUUUUUUUUUUUUUUGCGGUACGCGGGCCUCUCACUGCUGUGGCCUCUCCCGGUGCGGAGCACAGGCUCCGGACGCGCAGGCUCAGUGGCCAUGGCUCACGGGCCCAGCCGCUCCGCGGCAUGUGGGAUCUUCCCGGACCGGGGCACGAACCCGUGUCCCCUGCAUCGGCAGGCGGACUCUCAACCACUGCACCACCAGGGAAGCCCCUCAGUAAUUUUUAAGACUGUAAAGUUGUCCUGAGACCAAAGAUUUGAAAACAACUGGUUUAGACAAAGUCGCAUAUUUGCCAUUUUAUUUGCUCCCCCUCUUCUUCCAUGUCAGACGAUCUUUCUAAGGUAAUUUUCUUUUUUCCUGAUGUAACUUUUAGGAGUUUCUUUGGUGAGAAUCUCUUGGUUUUAUAUCAUCAUAGAUUUUGUCUUUAAAAGAAUGUUAUUUCACCUAUUAGUUUUUAAAUCUUUAAAAAACUUGUAGUAAAAUACACCUAACAUAAAAUUUAUCAUUUUAACUAUUGUAAGUGUACAAUCAGUGGCAUUAAGUACAUUCACAACGUGGUGCAACCAUCCCCACCAUCUACUUGCAGAACUUUUUCAUUCCUCCAAGCGGAAACCCCACACCCAUAAACACUCUUCUUCCUCCCCCCCAGCCACUGGAAAUGAUUUCUUUUUUAAAAGGACAGCUUUAUUGAGAUGCAAUUCACAUACUAUACAACUCGCCCCUUGAAAGUGUAUGAUUCGAUGGUUUUUAGCACAUUCACAGACUUGUGAAACCACCGUCAGUUUUAGAACGUUUUCAUCACCCCCCAAAGGAAUCCUGUACCCAUUAACAGUCACUCCCUACUUCCUACCAAUCCCUCUCCCCAGCCCUAGAUAGCCACUACUCUACUGUCUGUCCUUAUAGAUGUACCUAUUCUGGACAUUUCUCAUAAAUGGAUUCAUGCAAUAGAUGGUCUCUUAUAACUGGUUUCUUUCACUUAGCAUAACGUUUUCAAGUUUCCUCUAUUGAUGCGGCAUUGCUGUAGCAGGCAUUAGUGUCCAUUCAAGGUUCCUCUAUUGAUGCGGCAUUGCUGUAGCAGGCAUUAGUGUCCAUUCAAGGUUCAUCUACUGAUGCAGCAUUGCUGUAGCAGGCAUUAGUGUCCACUCCUAUUAUGUUAGCUAACAUUCCAUUGUAUGGAUGUACUACCUUUUAUUUACCCAUCAUCACUUGUUGGACAUUUGACAUAUGUCUACUUUUUGGCUAUUAUGAGUGAUGCUGCUGUGAACAUUGGUGUACAAGUGUUUGUGUGGACAUAUGUUUCACUUAUCUUGGGUAGAUAUCUAGGAGUGGGACUGCCCAGUCAUAUGGUAACUUUAUGUUUAACUCUUGAGAAACUGACAGAAACUGGUGAUUUUCAAAGCUCUUGCAGCAUUUUCCAUUUUCACAAGGUAUAAGGGUUCCAACUGCCCCACAUCCUCUCCUGUUGUUAUUUGUCUUUUUUUUUUUUUUUUUAAUCAUAGCCAUCCUACUGGCUGGGAAGUGGUACCUUAUCGUAGUUUUGAUUUACAUUUCCCUGGUGGCUCAUGACAUUAAGCAUCUUUUCAUAUGCUUUUUGGCCAUGUGUAAACCUCUUUGGAGAAAUAUCUGUUGAGCUCCUUUGCCCAUUUUAAAAUUGGGUUUUUGUCUUUUUAUUAUUGAGUUGUCGGUGUUCUUUAUGUAUUCUGGAUACAAGGCCCUUCUCAGAUUAUAUGAGAUAUCUAAAUAUUUUCUCCCACACUGAGGUUUUUUUUUCAGUUUCUUGAUGGUGUCCUUUGAUGUGUAAAAGUUUUAAAUUUUGAUAGAGUCAAAUUUAUCUAUUGUUUCCAUGGAUCAUUUGUGCUUUUGGUGUCAUAUCAAAAAAUUAUUGCCUAGGGGACUUCCCUGGUGGUCCAGUGGUUAAGACUCCAUGUUUCCACUGCAGGGGGCACAGUUUUGAUCCCUGGUUGGGGAACUAAGAUCCUGCAUGCCGUGCGGCGUGGCCGAAAACAAAAGAAAACAAAACCAACCAAACAAAAAUUAUUGCCUAAUCCAAGGUCAUGAACAUUUACGUCUAUGUUUUCUUCUAAAACUCUUGCAUUUAGCCGUUUGAUCCGUUUUGAUUUAAUCUAUGUGUACAGUGUGAGGUAGGGGUCUAAUUUAAUUCUUUGGCAUAUGGGUAUCCAGUUUUCCCAGCACCAUUUACUGAGAAAACUAUUCUUUUCCCUGUUGAAUGGGCUUGGUAUCCUUGUCAAAGAUCAAUUGACCGUAGAUAUAUCGGCUUAGUUUUGGACUCUCAGUUCUAUUUCAUCCAAUUAUAUGUCUAUCGUCAUACCAACAUCACAUUGUUUUGAUUAUUGUAGCUUUGAGGUAAAUUUUGAAAUUGGGAAGUGUGAUUCAUCCAAUAUUGUUCUUUUUUUUUCAAGAUUGUUUCGACUAUUCUGAAUUCCUUAAUAUCCAUGUGAAUUUUAGGAUUGACUUGUCAACUUCUGCAAAGAAUGUAGCUGGAAUUUUUAUAGGAAUUUAUUUUGUAGAUCAAUUUGAGGAGUACUGCUAUCUGAACAAUAUUAAGUCUUCCAAUCCAUGAACAUGAGAUGCCUUUCCAUUUACUUAGUUCUUUAAUUUUUUUAACAAUGCUUUGUAAUUUUCAGAAUAUAAGUUUUGCAUAUCUUUUGCUAACUUUAUUCCCAAGUUUAUUCUUUCUGAUACUAUUUAAAUGGAAUUCUUUUUUUAAUUUUCAAAUUGUUCAUUACAAAUGUAUAGAAAUAUAAUUGGUUUUUGUAUACUGAUCUUGUAUCCCACAAACUUGCUGAACUUGUUUAUUGGGUUUCAUAGUUUUUUUAGUAGAUCCUUAAGAUUUUCUAUAUAGAAAAUCACGUCAUCUGCAAAUAAAGAGAGUUUUACUUCUUCUUUUCCAAUCUUGCUGACUUUUAUUUCGUUUUCUUGCUUUAUUGCCCUGGCUAGAAUCUCAAAUACAAUGCUCAACAGACGUGGGAAAAGUGGACAUCUUUAUUCACCUUAUUUCUUAAGUGGUAAAGCUUGACACAAAUUUAGCUUAGUGCUUCUCAAGCAUUAAUGUGGGAAAAUACCUCACCUGUCCUCCUCAAAACUGUCAAGGUCAGCAAAAGCAAAGUUUUGAGAAACCAUCUUAGCCAAGAGGAGCCUAAGGUAGGUAAUAUGAUGACGAAAUGUAAUACGGUGUCCAGGAUGAGAUCCUGUAACAUGAAAAGAACAUUAGGUAAAAAAUAAGAAGAAGAAUAUAUGACUAAAAUACAGAUUUUAAUUGACAGUAAGAUAUUGGUUCACUAAUUGUGACAUAUGUACCAUAUUACUAUAAGAUGUUAAUAGGAGAAACUGAGUAUGGGGUAUAUGGGAACUUUCUGUAUUAUCGUCACUAUUUUUCUGUAACUCUUGAACUAUUCUACAAUUUAAAGUUUAUUUUUAAAUGGCAUUAAUGUGCUUAUUUGUUAUAAUGCAGAUUGUGACUCGGUGGACCUGUGGCAGGGCCCCAGGAUCCUGCGUUUCCAAAAGAUCCAGGGUGCAUGGCCCACACUUUAAGAAGAUUUCACUUUUGCUAAUGAGUUUAAAUGUCAUCCUUUUGUGGGUAAUCUGUUUUUUCUCUCUGACGGCUUUAAAAUUUUUUCUCAGGGACUUCCUUGGUGGUCCGGUGGUUAGGACUCUGUGCUUUCGCCGCUGUGGCCCGAGUUCAGUCGCUGGUCGAGGAACUAAGAUCCCGAAAGCCAAGCAGUGCAGCCAAAAAAAAAAAUAAUAAUAAAAUAAAAUUUUUUCUCUUUGUCUUUGGUUUUCUAUGAUUUUGCUACAGUGUGUUUUGAUAUGGAUACUUCAUUUGCCACGACUGGAUUUUAUUGUGCUUCUUGGAUAUAAUGACCCAUGCUUUUCAUCAUUUUGGAAAAUAAUUAUCAGCUAUAAUUUCUUCAAAAAUUAUCUCCCUAUUUCCUUCAGGAUCUUCUAGAACUACAGUU